This 459-nucleotide ribosomal RNA is filed under the name uncultured bacterium. RNAcentral's name for it is "partial 16S ribosomal RNA". It matches the Rfam family "Bacterial small subunit ribosomal RNA", at positions 338 to 795 of the family's 1533-position model. The record is from RNAcentral.
CCUACGGGUGGCAGCAGUGAGGAAUAUUGGUCAAUGGCCGCAGGGCUGAACCAGCCAAGUCGCGUGAGGGAUGACGGUCCUAUGGAUUGUAAACCUCUUUUGUCAGGGAGCAAAGGGCGCCACGUGUGGCGUUUUGCGAGUACCUGAAGAAAAAGCAUCGGCUAACUCCGUGCCAGCAGCCGCGGUAAUACGGAGGAUGCGAGCGUUAUCCGGAUUUAUUGGGUUUAAAGGGUGCGCAGGCGGAAUGUCAAGUCAGCGGUAAAAUUUCGGGGCUCAACCCCGUCGUGCCGUUGAGACUGGCGUUCUUGAGUGAGCGAGAAGUAUGCGGAAUGCGUGGUGUAGCGGUGAAAUGCAUAGAUAUCACGCAGAACCCCGAUUGCGAAGGCAGCCUUCCGGCGCCCUACUGACGCUGAGGCACGAAAGUGCGGGGAUCGAACAGGAUUAGAUACCCUUGUAGUC